AGUGUCUACCUGGUUGUGCUCGUUUGCACCGAGUAGGUCAUCGGUUCGAUCCCGGUAGGAUCCACCA
This 67-nucleotide transfer RNA is filed under the name Micrococcaceae bacterium. RNAcentral's name for it is "tRNA-OTHER". The record is from RNAcentral. Lineage: Bacteria; Bacillati; Actinomycetota; Actinomycetes; Micrococcales; Micrococcaceae.